GGAGGCCAUAUCGAUGUGGAACAUGAAGGGCAUACAUAUCCAGCUGGUGCAGUAUGAGGAGGAAAGCUCUUGAUAUGGGAAACCAAACAAUUUGUGUGUAAAACGUGCAGGCAACCCAAUCGGGUGGUUUGAGAAUCAUUCCCCUCUUCAAGCACAGCUUGGCACGAGCAACAUUUUGGAGGCCAAUCAUACUCUCCAUCUAUU
This 204-nucleotide unclassified non-coding RNA is filed under the name Hevea brasiliensis (rubber tree). Lineage: Eukaryota; Viridiplantae; Streptophyta; Magnoliopsida; Malpighiales; Euphorbiaceae. The record is from RNAcentral.